This 963-nucleotide long non-coding RNA is filed under the name Homo sapiens (human). Its description in RNAcentral is "LHRI_LNC753.6". Lineage: Eukaryota; Metazoa; Chordata; Mammalia; Primates; Hominidae. The record is from RNAcentral.
GCAGCCGCGCUUUGGGGCGUCGGCUCACGUGGGGCCGGCAACGCGUCUUCCAGGAUGUUCGCGCGCUAGUCGCCGCUGAGGGGCCGGCGAUGCGCGAGGAGUUCCGGCGAGGAAGGUCGGUCAGUGGACAUGGCCGAGGCCCGCGGUGUCCGCGUGUGGGAGCUGCAGGGCUGAGGAGAGGCCGCCCGCAACCCUCGGGAAUCGUGUGAGGUGCCACUGGGGUCGCUUCACAUCAGGAGGCCCCGUCUCGGGGGACGCGCGCAGUCCCUUUAUAGGCACAACUGCUUAAAGAAACCAGAUGGCCCCAGGAUGGUGCCAGAGCUUCCUGACCCCUUAUCAGAUACCAGAGGAAGAUAAGACUGCAGAGCGGAACAGGAUAGGCAACCCCUGAUCCUUGAUCAAGUCACAUUUGCAGAGACCUCUUUUUCAAAUAAGAGACGAGGUCUCACUAUGUUGGCCAGGUUGGUCUCGAAUUCCUGGCCGCAAGCCGUUCUCCAGUCUGGGCCUCCCAAAGUGCUAGGAUUACAGGAACAGAAUUGCCAUUGGGCCCAGGGAGAGACUACACUUCUUGUCUGCUUUGUUGCUAGUGCGGCCUUGUGGCCAAGCACAGAACGUGUGCAGUGAUGAUGGUGCAACUUCUAGGUCGUCCCCAGCAUGGAAAAUGAGCCCUGGGCAUGGAAGAUGAGCCCUGGUCCUGCAGCGGUGCUCUUUCCUCUUCUCACAAGCUGGAAUGUGCAUGUGCUCCCACCCAGCUUUGACCAUGGGGCGAAAACAGUACUCUGCAGUCUGGCAGAGCAACAAGGUGGAAAGGGCCUGGGUCCUUGAGUGACGUCAUGAGCCCUCUCACUGUCCCGACUUUGGGACUGUUAUAUGAUAAGGACUUUCUGUGAGUCACUGUCUUUUAGAGUCUCUCUGUUUUAGCUGCCUGGACUUUAUCCUGAAUAAUAUGGCUGUUAUCAUGGG